CCUACGGGGGGCAGCAGUGGGGAAUAUUGGACAAUGGGGGGAACCCUGAUCCAGCCAUGCCGCGUGUGUGAAGAAGGCCCUCGGGUUGUAAAGCACUUUCAGUGAGGAAGAACGCCUGGUGGUUAAUACCCAUCAGGAAAGACAUCACUCACAGAAGAAGCACCGGCUAACUCCGUGCCAACAGCCGCGGUAAUACGGAGGGUGCGAGCGUUAAUCGGAAUUACUGGGCGUAAAGCGCGCGUAGGUGGCUUGAUAAGCCGGUUGUGAAAGCCCCGGGCUCAACCUGGGAACGGCAUCCGGAACUGUCAAGCUAGAGUGCAGGAGAGGAAGGUAGAAUUCCCGGUGUAGCGGUGAAAUGCGUAGAGAUCGGGAGGAAUACCAGUGGCGAAGGCGGCCUUCUGGACUGACACUGACACUGAGGUGCGAAAGCGUGGGUAGCAAACAGGAUUAGAUACCCCAGUAGUC
This 465-nucleotide ribosomal RNA is filed under the name Vreelandella stevensii. RNAcentral's name for it is "partial 16S ribosomal RNA". It matches the Rfam family "Bacterial small subunit ribosomal RNA", at positions 338 to 795 of the family's 1533-position model. The record is from RNAcentral. Lineage: Bacteria; Pseudomonadati; Pseudomonadota; Gammaproteobacteria; Oceanospirillales; Halomonadaceae.